GCAGCAGCCGCGGGAAUACGGAGGGUGCAAGCGUUAUCCGGAUUUAUUGGGUUUAAAGGGUCCGUAGGCGGAUCUGUAAGUCAGUGGUGAAAUCUCACAGCUUAACUGUGAAACUGCCAUUGAUACUGCAGGUCUUGAGUAAAUUUGAAGUGGCUGGAAUAAGUAGUGUAGCGGUGAAAUGCAUAGAUAUUACUUAGAACACCAAUUGCGAAGGCAGGUCACUAAGAUUUAACUGACGCUGAUGGACGAAAGCGUGGGGAGCGAACAGGAUUAGAUACCCCCGUAGUCCCUGUCUCUUAUAA
Molecule: ribosomal RNA, 302 nt
Filed under: uncultured bacterium
Lineage: Bacteria
Description: partial 16S ribosomal RNA
Rfam family: Bacterial small subunit ribosomal RNA
Source: RNAcentral